GGGUAUAGCUCAGUGGUAGAGCACAUGCUUAGCAUGCAUGAGAUCCUGGAUUCAAUCCCCAGUUAUAUCCA
RNAcentral lists this transfer RNA (71 nucleotides) under Camelus ferus (Wild Bactrian camel). It matches the Rfam family "tRNA". Rfam says of the family: Transfer RNA (tRNA) molecules are approximately 80 nucleotides in length. Their secondary structure includes four short double-helical elements and three loops (D, anti-codon, and T loops). Further hydrogen bonds mediate the characteristic L-shaped molecular structure. tRNAs have two regions of fundamental functional importance: the anti-codon, which is responsible for specific mRNA codon recognition, and the 3' end, to which the tRNAs corresponding amino acid is attached (by aminoacyl-tRNA synthetases). tRNAs cope with the degeneracy of the genetic code in two manners: having more than one tRNA (with a specific anti-codon) for a particular amino acid; and 'wobble' base-pairing, i.e. permitting non-standard base-pairing at the 3rd anti-codon position. Lineage: Eukaryota; Metazoa; Chordata; Mammalia; Artiodactyla; Camelidae. The record is from Rfam by way of RNAcentral.